UGUUGCGACGAUUAUAUUGAGUCCGGGCUCCAAAACACUUGAUUACUUUUUGUUUUCCCGCUCGAUCUCCGUGGAUUACAAUCCCGAGCUCCCCUCUUUCUUCUCCAAUUUCUUCUUCUCCGUUCGAAAGCUACCUGCAAAUCCACUCAUGAGAGCUUCUUCCUUUGGCACACAUGGUUAAUCCAUCCUUUAGAUUCCAUUAUUAAUAGACUUAGUGAUUGUGGGCAAGCUGUAUUACGUGCGUUCGCGAGAGAGAGAGUGUUCGAGAGACAGAGAGAGGGGAGAGAAGUGCACUGCCAUCAUACCACUGUGCAAUUUGAGGAGAAUUGGGGAACCCACCGCGGAGAAGAUUGGACAAGAAGCACUUGACACAACCUGUUUUCCUCAAAAGGCUGUUUUUUGUAGAUGAACUUUCGGAUACUUCUGGCAUAAACAAAUGGACAUGUAAAUGUUCUUAUACAUAUCAAGAAAAUCAUAGUUAUGCUGUUAAAUCCAACUGUUCCACAUCCUGUAAUUGCAUUUCAGG
Molecule: long non-coding RNA, 526 nt
Organism: Juglans microcarpa x Juglans regia
Lineage: Eukaryota; Viridiplantae; Streptophyta; Magnoliopsida; Fagales; Juglandaceae
Exons: 3
Source: RefSeq, a predicted model, not a curated record